This 269-nucleotide ribosomal RNA is filed under the name uncultured prokaryote. RNAcentral describes it as "partial 16S ribosomal RNA". It matches the Rfam family "Bacterial small subunit ribosomal RNA", at positions 524 to 792 of the family's 1533-position model. The record is from RNAcentral.
CACGAACUGCGCGAACGUUAUUCGGAAUCACUGGGCUUAAAGAGUUCGUAGGCGGUCUGAUUAGUCGGGUGUGAAAUCCCUCGGCCUAACCGAGGAACUGCGCCCGAUACUGCCAGACUAGAGGGAGAUAGGGGUGAGCGGAACUGAUGGUGGAGCGGUGAAAUGCGUUGAUAUCAUCAGGAACACCGGUGGCGAAGGCGGCUCACUGGAUCUCUUCUAACGCUGAGGAACGAAAGCUAGGGGAGCGAACGGGAUUAGAUACCCCAGUA